This 719-nucleotide ribosomal RNA is filed under the name uncultured bacterium. RNAcentral describes it as "bacterial SSU rRNA". It matches the Rfam family "Bacterial small subunit ribosomal RNA", at positions 56 to 763 of the family's 1533-position model. The record is from RNAcentral.
UGCAGUCGAGGGGCAGCAUGAACUUAGCUUGCUAAGUUUGAUGGCGACCGGCGCACGGGUGAGUAACGCGUAUGCAACUUGCCUAUCAGAGGAGAAUAGCUCAUCGAAAGAUGAAUUAAUGCUCCAUAAAACAGGGGUCCCGCAUGGGAAUAUUUGUUAAAGAUUCAUCGCUGAUAGAUAGGCAUGCGUUCCAUUAGGCAGUUGGCGGGGUAACGGCCCACCAAACCGGCGAUGGAUAGGGGUUCUGAGAGGAAGGUCCCCCACAUUGGUACUGAGACACGGACCAAACUCCUACGGGAGGCAGCAGUGAGGAAUAUUGGUCAAUGGCCGAGAGGCUGAACCAGCCAAGUCGCGUGAAGGAUGAAGGAUCUAUGGUUUGUAAACUUCUUUUAUACGGGAAUAAAGUGAGCCACGCGUGGCUUUUUGUAUGUACCGUAUGAAUAAGCAUCGGCUAACUCCGUGCCAGCAGCCGCGGUAAUACGGAGGAUGCGAGCGUUAUCCGGAUUUAUUGGGUUUAAAGGGUGCGUAGGUGGUCUUUUAAGUCAGCGGUGAAAGUUUGUGGCUCAACCAUAAAAUUGCCAUUGAAACUGGGGGACUUGAGUAUGUUUGAGGUAGGCGGAAUGCGUGGUGUAGCGGUGAAAUGCAUAGAUAUCACGCAGAACUCCGAUUGCGAAAGGCAGCUUGCCAAGCCAUAACUGACACUGAAGCACGAAAGCGUG